RNAcentral lists this non-coding RNA (24 nucleotides) under Drosophila melanogaster (fruit fly). Lineage: Eukaryota; Metazoa; Arthropoda; Insecta; Diptera; Drosophilidae. The record is from RNAcentral.
UUUUGAGUAAGAAUUUAUAAAAGU